Molecule: ribosomal RNA, 506 nt
Filed under: uncultured bacterium
Lineage: Bacteria
Description: partial 16S ribosomal RNA
Rfam family: Bacterial small subunit ribosomal RNA
Source: RNAcentral
AGUGAACGCUGGCGGUAGGCCUAACACAUGCAAGUCGAACGGCAGCACAGAGGAGCUUGCUCCUUGGGUGGCGAGUGGCGGACGGGUGAGGAAUACAUCAGAAUCUACUCUGUCGUGGGGGAUAACGUAGGGAAACUUACGCUAAUACCGCAUACGACCUACGGGUGAAAGCAGGGGAUCUUCGGACCUUGCGCGAUUGAAUGAGCCGAUGUCGGAUUAGCUAGUUGGCGGGGUAAAGGCCCACCAAGGCGACGAUCCGUAGCUGGUCUGAGAGGAUGAUCAGCCACACUGGAACUGAGACACGGUCCAGACUCCUCCGGGAGUCAGCAGUGGGGAAUAUUGGACAAUGGGCGCAAGCCUGAUCCAGCCAUACCGCGUGGGUGAAGAAGGCCUUCGGGUUGUAAAGCCCUUUUGUUGGGGAAGAAAUCCAUCUGGUUAAUACCCGGGUGGGAUGACGGUACCCAAAGAAUAAGCACCGGCUAACUUCGUGCCAGCAGCCGCCGUAA